UAUUUGGGGGAUUUUUCUAUGUUUUCUGUGUUUAAUUCGUGUUAAAUAUCAUCUUUUGGAUAUGAAUUAUGGUCUUAUAUGAAUUUUGAUGGUAUUUGAUAGGUUUUGGAAAAAAGGAUUGCUUUUGAGAAGAGAUUUGAAAUGCAUGGAUUGAAGGCUAAAUGGACGAGAUUUAGAGAGCUGCUACUUUGAUUUUGCAUGCAUGGGCUAUACUUUAGCUUAUUGCUAAUGGGCUUAUACGCCACUUUUAGUUUAGAUUAGUUUAGGUGUUUAGUUUUGUUUAAUUAAGUAGGCCCAUGCGCCAUUUUAGUGGCCUUGAUUAGAUUAGGUUUGCUUUUGAGUUAUGGCAAUAUGCGCCACUUUUUAAAUAGUAGAAUUAGGUUUAUUUCCUUAUCAUAUAUAUAUGAUAAGUUAGCUGCAACUUUGGAGAAUAACACAAAUCAGACGGCACCUUGGAGAGCAGAAUUCUGGACGCAAGUUUUGGAGCAAUUCAAACUUUAAUUAGAGAAAUUCUCGCCAGUCCUUUGGGAGACGAUUUUGCUUACUGCUGUCUGCGCAGUGUGGGCAUACCGGCUGACUGCCGGAUAUAUUUGGUGUAAAACGACGCACCA
Molecule: long non-coding RNA, 611 nt
Organism: Salvia miltiorrhiza (redroot sage)
Lineage: Eukaryota; Viridiplantae; Streptophyta; Magnoliopsida; Lamiales; Lamiaceae
Exons: 2
Source: RefSeq, a predicted model, not a curated record